RNAcentral lists this transfer RNA (73 nucleotides) under Candidatus Woesearchaeota archaeon. RNAcentral describes it as "tRNA-Met". It matches the Rfam family "tRNA". From Rfam's summary of the family: Transfer RNA (tRNA) molecules are approximately 80 nucleotides in length. Their secondary structure includes four short double-helical elements and three loops (D, anti-codon, and T loops). The record is from RNAcentral. Lineage: Archaea; Nanobdellati; Candidatus Woesearchaeota.
GGCGGGGUAGAGAAGUGGCAAUCUCGCUGGGCCCAUAACCCGGAAGUCGCAGGUUCGAAUCCUGCCCCCGCUA